Molecule: microRNA precursor, 124 nt
Filed under: Paramuricea clavata
Lineage: Eukaryota; Metazoa; Cnidaria; Anthozoa; Malacalcyonacea; Plexauridae
Source: RNAcentral
AAAGUUGUUCUAACAAAUCUGAUACAGUCGUGAUAUAACAAGAAUGUUACAAGCUAGGUUCAGGACACAAGGUUGUAACAAUAUUGUUAUAUCAUGACUGUAUCGGGCUUGUUGGAACAACCUU